ACUCCUACGGGAGGCAGCAGUGGGGAAUAUUGGACACUGGGCGCAAGCCUGAUCCAGCCAUGCCGCGUGAGUGAUGAAGGCCCUAGGGUUGUAAAGCUCUUUCACCGGUGAAGAUAAUGACGGUAACCGGAGAAGAAGCCCCGGCUAACUUCGUGCCAGCAGCCGCGGUAAUACGAAGGGGGCUAGCGUUGUUCGGAUUUACUGGGCGUAAAGCGCACGUAGGCGGACUAUUAAGUCAGGGGUGAAAUCCCGGGGCUCAACCCCGGAACUGCCUUUGAUACUGGUAGUCUUGAGUUCGAGAGAGGUGAGUGGAAUUCCGAGUGUAGAGGUGAAAUUCGUAGAUAUUCGGAGGAACACCAGUGGCGAAGGCGGCUCACUGGCUCGAUACUGACGCUGAGGUGCGAAAGCGUGGGGAGCAAACAGGAUUAGAAACCCCAGUAGUCCCAUGAU
Molecule: ribosomal RNA, 450 nt
Filed under: uncultured organism
Description: partial 16S ribosomal RNA
Rfam family: Bacterial small subunit ribosomal RNA
Source: RNAcentral